GCCGGGCCCCGUGGCUGGUGCCUGUGAUCCCAGCUCCCGGGGAGGCUGAGGCCGGCGGAUCGCUUGAGCUCGGGAGUUCUGGGCUGCAGCGGGCUGUGCCGAUCGGGUGUCCGCACUAAAUUCGGCAUCAAUAUGGNCAAAACUACCGUGCUGAUCAGUAGUGGGAUCGCGCCUGUGAAUAGCCCCUGCAGCGUAGCCUGGGCAAGAGAGUGAGACCCGGUGUCU
This 225-nucleotide signal recognition particle RNA is filed under the name Gopherus agassizii (Agassiz's desert tortoise). Its description in RNAcentral is "Metazoan signal recognition particle RNA (ENSGAGG00000006455.1)". It matches the Rfam family "Metazoan signal recognition particle RNA". From Rfam's summary of the family: The signal recognition particle (SRP) is a universally conserved ribonucleoprotein. It is involved in the co-translational targeting of proteins to membranes. Lineage: Eukaryota; Metazoa; Chordata; Testudines; Testudinidae. The record is from RNAcentral.